RNAcentral lists this long non-coding RNA (415 nucleotides) under Gallus gallus (chicken). The record is from RNAcentral. Lineage: Eukaryota; Metazoa; Chordata; Aves; Galliformes; Phasianidae.
CAGAGCUCACAGUAACUUGUGUUGGAGGAGGACAACCAUUUUUCCAGGCAGCUCUUGUGCACGGUGCCCAGAGUUCCUGUGCAGUCACACGGGGAAAGCAGUCCCUCCCCAUUUCCACCUUCGUGACAGAUUCGACAGAUGGGACCAUCACUCUGCGCGCCCAGCGCCUUGAUGACGGUGGAGAGCAGGCGGCCGUUCUUGGCGGUGACCUGGGUGAUGUACUGCGGCCGCCCGAGGUCCGAAUCCUCCACCGACUUGGAGAGCGCGGCGCUGCCCGGGCAGUCGCACAGAGAGCCGGGCAGGUGGCAGCAGUCGCCCGUCGUCAUCGCAGCUCCGCACCCCUCUGCCGCGGGGACCUGCAGUCCCGGCCCCGCGGCCCCUCAGCGCGCGGCGCGCCGCCCCAUCGCCGGUCCUG